RNAcentral lists this ribosomal RNA (333 nucleotides) under Mycobacterium tuberculosis. Its description in RNAcentral is "partial 23S ribosomal RNA". It matches the Rfam family "Bacterial large subunit ribosomal RNA", at positions 375 to 715 of the family's 2925-position model. The record is from RNAcentral. Lineage: Bacteria; Bacillati; Actinomycetota; Actinomycetes; Mycobacteriales; Mycobacteriaceae.
GUACACCAAAAUGCACAGGUUGUGAACUCGAAGAGUAGGGCGGGACACGUGGUAUCCUGUCUGAAUAUGGGGGGACCAUCCUCCAAGGCUAAAUACUCCUGACUGACCGAUAGUGAACCAGUACCGUGAGGGAAAGGCGAAAAGAACCCCGGCGAGGGGAGUGAAAAAGAACCUGAAACCGUGUACGUACAAGCAGUGGGAGCACCUUCGGGUGUGACUGCGUACCUUUUGUAUAAUGGGUCAGCGACUUAUAUUCUGUAGCAAGGUUAACCGUAUAGGGGAGCCGCAGGGAAACCGAGUCUUAACUGGGCGUUAAGUUGCAGGGUAUAGACC